UACAGAGGGGGCGAGCGUUGUUCGGAAUUACUGGGCGUAAAGGGCGCGUAGGCGGCCUGUUAAGUCGAACGUGAAAUCCCCGGGCUCAACCCGGGAACUGCGUCCGAUACUGGCAGGCUUGAAUCCGGGAGAGGGAUGCGGAAUUCCAGGUGUAGCGGUGAAAUGCGUAGAUAUCUGGAGGAACACCGGUGGCGAAGGCGGCAUCCUGGACCGGCAUUGACGCUGAGGCGCGAAAGCCAGGGGAGCAAACGGG
Molecule: ribosomal RNA, 253 nt
Filed under: uncultured bacterium
Lineage: Bacteria
Description: partial 16S ribosomal RNA
Rfam family: Bacterial small subunit ribosomal RNA
Source: RNAcentral